Long non-coding RNA from Suricata suricatta (meerkat), 781 nucleotides. RefSeq lists it as uncharacterized. The transcript is spliced from 4 exons. The record is from RefSeq and is a predicted model, not a curated record. NCBI's taxonomy places the organism in Eukaryota, Metazoa, Chordata, Mammalia, Carnivora, Herpestidae.
CCCUGCCAGCCAUGACCAGCCUGAGCUGUCGCCAUCUGCGGGCUAGGUGGGCUGGGCGUCUCUCUGCCAGGACUGGGACUUUACUCAGGAGGAUGUCACCUGUGAGGACCCCAGCUGCCCGUUCUCCCAGCUCCCGGCGCUGCCCUCCCAGCUCCUGCUCUGUGAGCAGGUGUUCGGGCUGCCCAGCUCCUCCGUAGCCCAGGCCGUGGCCCGGACCAACGCCUACUAUGGCGGCCAGACGCCAGGGGCCACCCAGGUGCUGUUCGUUAAUGGGGACAUGGACCCCUGGCACGUGCUAAGCGUAACAGCAGCCUCAGGGCCCUCAGAGUCCGCCCUCCUCAUCCCUGGUGCCUCCCAUUGCAUGGACAUGGCUCCUGAGACUCCCUUGGACUCCCCCAGCCUCCGGCUGGGGCGCCAGAGCAUCUUCAGGUGGCUGCAGACCUGGCUCGGGCUGGCACAUGGGAGCCCGGGGAGGGGUGGGGGCUGAGGGGCCGGACCCUCGCCUCUCCCCCCGAGGCCACCUGGUUCUCAGACGGAAUCUCUGGACGGGAGAACAGAGCUUGUUUCGGAAGAGAAAAUUCCCAGGAAUCGGGCUUCAGCCUCUGGUCUGUGCACAACCGACUUGUUGGCUGCAAACCUCAUCUCUCCCGAGAGUGGACAUCAGUAUAAGGGGAGGGGAAUUCUCAUUGUGAAUGUUGGUGUUUCCUUUUAUUUUGCAGGGCUAUCUUUUCUAUUGUUUAAAGUAUCUUUCAGUAAAGCCUCUUUGUGUAAUAUAAUUCUG